Molecule: ribosomal RNA, 253 nt
Filed under: uncultured bacterium
Lineage: Bacteria
Description: partial 16S ribosomal RNA
Rfam family: Bacterial small subunit ribosomal RNA
Source: RNAcentral
UACGAAGGGGGCUAGCGUUGCUCGGAAUUACUGGGCGUAAAGCGCACGUAGGCGGCUUCUUAAGUCGGCGGUGAAAUCCUGGAGCUCAACUCCAGAACUGCCUUCGAUACUGGGAAGCUCGAGUCCGGGAGAGGUGAGUGGAACUGCGAGUGUAGAGGUGAAAUUCGUAGAUAUUCGCAAGAACACCAGUGGCGAAGGCGGCUCACUGGCCCGGUACUGACGCUGAGGUGCGAAAGCGUGGGGAGCAAACAGG